RNAcentral lists this ribosomal RNA (253 nucleotides) under uncultured bacterium. RNAcentral's name for it is "partial 16S ribosomal RNA". It matches the Rfam family "Bacterial small subunit ribosomal RNA", at positions 524 to 776 of the family's 1533-position model. The record is from RNAcentral.
UACGUAGGGUGCGAGCGUUAAUCGGAAUUACUGGGCGUAAAGCGUGCGCAGGCGGUUUUGUAAGCCAGAUGUGAAAUCCCCGGGCUUAACCUGGGAAUGGCAUUUGGGACUGCAAGGCUGGAGUGUGGCAGAGGAGGAUGGAAUUCCGCGUGUAGCAGUGAAAUGCGUAGAUAUGCGGAGGAACACCGAUGGCGAAGGCAAUCCCCUGGGCCUGCACUGACGCUCAUGCACGAAAGCGUGGGGAGCAAACAGG